AGUGAACGCUGGCGGUAGGCCUAACACAUGCAAGUCGAACGGCAGCACAGUAAGAGCUUGCUCUUACGGGUGGCGAGUGGCGGACGGGUGAGGAAUACAUCGGAAUCUACUUUUUCGUGGGGGAUAACGUAGGGAAACUUACGCUAAUACCGCAUACGACCUACGGUUGAAAGCAGGGGAUCUUCGGACCUUGCGCGAUUGAAUGAGCCGAUGUCGGAUUAGCUAGUUGGCGGGGUAAAGGCCCACCAAGGCGACGAUCCGUAGCUGGUCUGAGAGAGUGAUCAGCCACAAUGGGACAGUGGCAACGUACAGACCCCCAGGGGGGGCAGGAGUGGGGAAUUGUUGAAAAAUGGCGGAAACCUGGUUCAGCCAUUACGGGUUGGUGAAGGAAGCCCUUGGGGUUGUAAGGCCUUUUGUUUGGAAAGAAAAACAAGAAGGUAAAUCCCCGGGUGUUUGGACGGUACCAAAAGAAUAGAAACGGGAAACUUCCGU
This 492-nucleotide ribosomal RNA is filed under the name uncultured bacterium. RNAcentral describes it as "partial 16S ribosomal RNA". It matches the Rfam family "Bacterial small subunit ribosomal RNA", at positions 29 to 506 of the family's 1533-position model. The record is from RNAcentral.